RNAcentral lists this ribosomal RNA (567 nucleotides) under Pelobates varaldii (Moroccan spadefoot toad). Its description in RNAcentral is "partial 16S ribosomal RNA". It matches the Rfam family "Bacterial large subunit ribosomal RNA", at positions 1838 to 2609 of the family's 2925-position model. Lineage: Eukaryota; Metazoa; Chordata; Amphibia; Anura; Pelobatidae. The record is from RNAcentral.
GAAUCUUAUAAGAGGUCCUGCCUGCCCAGUGACUACAUGUUCAACGGCCGCGGUAUUCUGACCGUGCGAAGGUAGCGUAAUCACUUGUCUUUUAAAUAAAGACUGGUAUGAAUGGCCCCACGAGAGCCUUACUGUCUCCCUUAUUCAAUCAGUGAAACUGAUCUUCCCGUGCAGAAGCGGGAAUUUUAUCAUAAGACGAGAAGACCCCAUGGAGCUUAAAACUAAAAAUCACCUACUCAAUCAUCUUCCCCACGGGAUCACUUCUUAGCCUUGUAGAUAAUGAUUCAAGUUUUCGGUUGGGGUGACCACGGAGAAAAGAAAAUCCUCCUUGAUGAACAAUUAAUUUAAACCACGAGCCACCGCUCUAAGUAUUAGAACUUCUAACUAAAUUGAUCCAAUAAUUUUGAUCAACGGACCAAGUUACCCUGGGGAUAACAGCGCAAUCCAUUUCAAGAGUCCAUAUCGACAAAUGGGUUUACGACCUCGAUGUUGGAUCAGGGUAUCCCAGUGGUGCAGCCGCUACUAAAGGUUCGUUUGUUCAACGAUUAAAACCCUACGUGAUCUGAG